AGAUGUGAGGGCAAUCUGUCUGUGACAUCCAUUGAUUGCCAGGGUUGAUUCAGUGGAUCUAGCUGUUUAGGCAGGUGUCCCCUUCUUUCCUCAUUGCUCUAUGUGCAUCCUUCCCGAAGCUAAGUACUUAGUUGAAGAGGAUGACCUUCCCCAACAGAGGAGGUCUGUACUUCAGUCAAGGGUAUAGGAGUAGCUGUGCUCUCCUGCUAGCCUUCCCAACAAGCUCUCAAAGCCUAUUUAAAAUUGUAUAAGAUUCAACAAUUGGAGAAGACUUACUGAUCUUCCUCUGGAUAUCUGAAGCACUUA
RNAcentral lists this small nuclear RNA (306 nucleotides) under Neogale vison (American mink). RNAcentral describes it as "Neovison vison (American mink) 7SK RNA (ENSNVIG00000013403.1)". It matches the Rfam family "7SK RNA". From Rfam's summary of the family: 7SK was discovered as an abundant small nuclear RNA in the mid-70s but a possible function has only recently been suggested. The record is from RNAcentral. Lineage: Eukaryota; Metazoa; Chordata; Mammalia; Carnivora; Mustelidae.